Molecule: ribosomal RNA, 441 nt
Filed under: uncultured bacterium
Lineage: Bacteria
Description: partial 16S ribosomal RNA
Rfam family: Bacterial small subunit ribosomal RNA
Source: RNAcentral
CCUACGGGUGGCAGCAGUCGGGAAUAUUGCGCAAUGGUGGAAACUCUGACGCAGUGAAGCCGCGCAUAGGAAGAAGUUUUUCGGAAUGUUAACCAUUGUUGUUAGGGAAGAGAAAGGACAGUACCUAAGGAGGAAGAUCCGGCUAACUACGAGACCGCAGCCGCGGUAAUACGCAGGGAGCGAGCGUUAUCCGGAAUUAUUGGGUGUAAAGGGUGCGUAGGCGGGCAAACAAGUUAGUUGUGAAAUCCCUCGGCUUAACUGAGGAACUGCAACUAAAACUAUGUUUCUUGAGUGCAGGAGAGGUAAGUGGAAUGCCUGGUGUAGCGGUGAAAUGCGUAGAUAUUAGGAGGAACACCAGUGGCGAAGGCGACUUGCUGGACUGUAACUGACGUUGAGGCACGAAAGUGUGGGGAGCAAACAGGAUUAGAUACCCUUGUAGUC